Felis catus (domestic cat) is the source of this 85-nucleotide non-coding RNA. NCBI's taxonomy places the organism in Eukaryota, Metazoa, Chordata, Mammalia, Carnivora, Felidae. The record is from Rfam.
GCCUGGGUGGCUCAGUCGGUUAAGCGUCUGACUUCGGCUCAGGUCACGAUCUCGCGGUCCGUGAGUUCGAGCCCCGCGUCGGGCU